CCUUUACUUGGAUACUUUUAUUAGACCUAAUGAAGCUAAUCUAACCUUUUGUUUCAGCCAAUCAGCAAACGUAUGAGAGUGCUCAGUUGGCAACCAUAAAGACUUUUUUAAUUGACGAGCCAAAUGCUCCCUAAAAUUAUACCAACAGAAUUAAUAAAAAAAAACUUAACAAAAAAGAGGUGUAAAUUUUCAGUCAUAUACUCUAUGUAUGGUUGAAUCUCGGGGGUGUUUACUAAAACACAUCGGUGCGCUUGC
Molecule: long non-coding RNA, 255 nt
Filed under: Citrus sinensis (sweet orange)
Lineage: Eukaryota; Viridiplantae; Streptophyta; Magnoliopsida; Sapindales; Rutaceae
Description: long non-coding RNA (CSIN_LNC000850)
Source: RNAcentral